RNAcentral lists this ribosomal RNA (460 nucleotides) under uncultured bacterium. RNAcentral's name for it is "partial 16S ribosomal RNA". It matches the Rfam family "Bacterial small subunit ribosomal RNA", at positions 338 to 795 of the family's 1533-position model. The record is from RNAcentral.
CCUACGGGUGGCAGCAGUGAGGAAUAUUGGUCAAUGGACGAGAGUCUGAACCAGCCAAGUAGCGUGAAGGAUGACUGCCCUAUGGGUUGUAAACUUCUUUUAUAAAGGAAUAAAACGAGGCACGUGUGCCUUUUUGCAUGUACUUUAUGAAUAAGGAUCGGCUAACUCCGUGCCAGCAGCCGCGGUAAUACGGAGGAUCCGAGCGUUAUCCGGAUUUAUUGGGUUUAAAGGGAGCGUAGAUGGGGUGUUAAGUCAGUUGUGAAAGUUUGCGGCUCAACCGUAAAAUUGCAAUUGAUACUGGCAGUCGUGAGUACAGUUGAGGUAAGCGGAAUUCGUGGUGGAGCGGUGAAAUGCGUAGAUAUCACGAAGAACCCCGAUUGCGAAGGCAGCUUACUAAACUGUGACUGACAUUGAUGCUCGAAAGUGUGGGUAUCAAACAGGAUUAGAUACCCCAGUAGUC